Molecule: long non-coding RNA, 177 nt
Organism: Sciurus carolinensis (gray squirrel)
Lineage: Eukaryota; Metazoa; Chordata; Mammalia; Rodentia; Sciuridae
Exons: 3
Source: RefSeq, a predicted model, not a curated record
AAUGGAGUUGGCCUUCUAUGGACUAAGCCUUCUGAAACUGUUUGCCUACACUGUCUCUAAUUCCUGGGCUCAAGCGAUCCUCCUCCUUCAGCCUCCUGAAUAACUGGGACUACAGUGUCUGCCUGAAAAACCUGGGUGCUUCUGUCAAGUCUUUGUCUUCGGAUUCCUGAAUCAUUC